UACGUAUGGGGCAAGCGUUAUCCGGAUUUAUUGGGCGUAAAGAGCGCGUAGGCGGAUCGUUAAGUCAGGUGUGAAAUCCGGGGGCUCAACCCGCGGCCUGCAUCUGAAACUGGCGGUCUUGAGUCUGGUAGAGGAAAGUGGAAUUCCUAGUGUAGCGGUGAAAUGCGCAGAUAUUAGGAGGAACACCAGUGGCGAAGGCGGCUUUCUGGGCCACGACUGACGCUGAGGCGCGAAAGCUAGGGGAGCAAACAGG
RNAcentral lists this ribosomal RNA (253 nucleotides) under uncultured bacterium. RNAcentral describes it as "partial 16S ribosomal RNA". It matches the Rfam family "Bacterial small subunit ribosomal RNA", at positions 524 to 776 of the family's 1533-position model. The record is from RNAcentral.